CGCCAGUAAUUAAAUGAUGUGUCGGAUAUAAUUUAUCCAACAGGAUUUUCUAAUAUCCGUCACCAUCAUCCGCCACCUAAAGCUAAUAUUGUAGCAGUGGAAGACACAAUGACAUAACGGGAAUCUACAAAUUUGGUGUAUGAGCUCCAUUUUGGGCACUUGAUACCUUUCUGAAAAGAGUGCGAUCUGUCAUUUCAAACUCACUACUAUGUUGUGAGAUAUAAUGGAUUUUAGCCAUCCGAGAUCAUUUAGACUUUCAAAACUGCAUUUUAAAGUUUGAAAUAGAAAUCAGACUUUUCAUUUAACAUCCGAUUCACUUCUUUACAUUUCCCAAGACUUCUUUUACAUUCCCUAAGACUCCACUAAGCUACUCAAGGAUCGAGUUAAGUCUACUUAAGCCUUAUUACUGUUAUUCUAAUCAUCAUUUCAGAAUUAAUCAAUUAUCCUUUUGGGUUUUCUCUCAAACUUUGGUGUACUCUAGCAACUUGAUUCUUCGAGUGCAUACGUUUGUAACCCUCUACACUCAUGCUGCGUCAAGAACACAACCAAGAUUAAACAUGAACACUAAAAAAACCAGUAUUCAACGCAGUUCACCUCCACAAAGUAUAAAGCAUGUUUCUCAUAAAAGUAACCUGUCUUUUGACUCUUAUUGAGUAUUUAUGUGCCUACCUACUUGUCCUAUUUUUACACUCAUCUUAUCACUAAAGAUAAAUGACAUUAAUCUAAAGUAGAUUAUGAAUAACUUAUUUUUUUUCACCCACCUAUUACUGGAUAGAGAAAUUGUGACGACCCGUCCCUCAUUUUCCUAUGUAAUUUCUCUCCGAGUAUGUGUUUUGACGACUAUGCCUUACUGGCAAGUGACGUGGACUUAUUCUUAUCGCUUUCCAUUUUAUUUCUCGCUAUCGCAUUUAAAUUGUACAUGCUAGUACGAGUAGACGUAGAUUUUAAAGUGUAAAAAUAUCUACUUCGGAUAGAUUUCGAUUUCCUUUUACUGUAGGAAAUAUAGAAAUCUAUCCCUUGGAUUCCUUUUAAAACCCAUCCCGUGCACUCUCUGCAGCACUCCACUUUCAGCUAUUCAAUCCCAUCUUUUCUGUAUGUUUUGUCCCCCCUCUAUCAGAAAAAGCAAAGAAAAUUUGAAAACUUCUUUCUUCUUUCUUCCUAUCCCGUGAGCUCUCUCUCCCUCUGCAACUCCAUGAGCAAGCUCCAACACUCAUAGAUCGAACAAACAAACUACAUCAUCAUGCUCAUCUCAGCCCCACGAUCACGACCAUACCCCUGGUUCGCGUGUUGACCGAGUUUUGACCGUCCAACUCGGAAGGUUCGACUCGGUGAGUUCGAUACUACGGUUUUCAAGCCAUGCAUGGCUAAGGUAAGCCUUAAGAAACCCUUAGAACCUUCAUUUCACUUCUAUGGGUUGUUAUUGAUCCUUUGUUUGUGUUUUGAACGUGUGGUUUUACCCAGAAACUCGAGAAAAAGGAGAACCCGAAGUUUUUCGUACAAGAACCGUGGCCAUUUAGUCAUUUUCAAACCAUUUUUCUGGUCAACCUCGACCACAACUGGACUUCUUCUAGGUACAAACUUGUUCUCUACAUUCCUAACUUCAAAAUGGCUUUUGAAUCACUGAGUUUGGUUAAGUAACGAGUUAGAAAUCAACUCUGGAAGUUGGCAAGAAAAUUUUAGUUUUCUGGAAAAUUUUAGCCGUGGUCGUUUGGCCACUUUCAGACCAAAUUUCUGAACCACACGGACUAUAUUCGAACUUUCUGUAAAUUGGGAUCGGUAGAUCACAUUCCUAGCUUUACUUUGGCUUUUGUAGAAGUGAAUUUGGUUGAGAAUCGAGCUUGUAAUGGGCUCUGGAAGUUGACCCAAAAAUCUGCAAAACUGCAGAUUUUCGCGAAGAAGGCGAGUACAGUGUACUCCCGGGGGCGCG
Molecule: long non-coding RNA, 1927 nt
Filed under: Malus domestica (apple)
Lineage: Eukaryota; Viridiplantae; Streptophyta; Magnoliopsida; Rosales; Rosaceae
Description: long non-coding RNA (MDOM_LNC002978)
Source: RNAcentral